AUUUAUUCCAAAUAUAACCUCAUGGUGUGACAUUUAUAUUAGAGAACAAGUUCAAUAAAUUUAUUCGAUGCCCACAAUUUUGUAGCAUCAGAGAGUUUGCUUCCUUCAACUUCCAAUCUUCUCAAAUGUGAACAAUUCUUAACAAAGAGUUCAAUAGCCAUAGAUUCUAUCCCCAAACAAUGCAUAACAUCAACAUUUUCAAGUCUCUUGCAACUCCUAACCAUGGUAACCAAUGCCAAAUUAGUAAGCCCUUUACACCCUCUAACCUUCAAAUCAACCAAAUGAAUACAUGAAACCAACAUUGAAAUAAAAUCCUUAUCAAACAACAUUUCAUUAUGAGACAAAUCAAGUUUCUUCAAUUGCCUCAAAUGUUGCCCUAAAGUAGCAAGCAAACCUUUUUCCCUUUCAACAACAUCACAGUUUAUGAGUGCCAAUUCUUCAAGACCAUUACUCAAUGCUACACUUAGAACCUUAAGCCCUUCACCAGUUACAAGACAACAACUUUGAAGCCUAAUACUCGAAAGGCCUCGAAAAUUUGUAGUCAUAGCAAUAGCAAAUAGAUGAUUGUUUUCAAGGUCCAUAGGUAAACGAAAAUCGAGUUUAUGCAAAUUAUUAGAACUACAAUUUGAAAAGAAAUGUAGCAAACCCUCUCUGCUACCACCAUCAUGAACCAAAAGUGAUUCCAAUGAGUUACAAUGUUGUGCAAGGUUCAACAAAACUCCAUCAACCACGCUUCUACAAGUCUUGAGCUCAAUUUGUUGAAUACCCUGCAAACAUUGAACAAAACAAGAGUAAGAACCACCAAUUCCUUGACAACUAAGAAGCUUCAAUUUCUUAAGGUUUCUGCAUCUCUUCCAUAGCCAACCAAUUCCCCAAUCAUCUCCGCGAAUAUUCUCAAAACAAAGACUUUCCAAACCCAAUUCCUUAUCAAAAUCAUCACUUUCAAAAACACAAUUUUGGAAAUUCACCUCCUCAGAAGAACAAAAAACAACUGAGAGAUGUUUCAAGCAAGGAAAAAGCAAAACCCAGUUGAGAAAAAUUGGUCUUGAGAGAGUUAUAGAAAGAGAGGUCAACUUGGUACAAGAGUUUGAGAGAGAAGUGAUGGAAGAGAGAGGAAGAGGAGCAGCCAAGAAUUUGAGAGAGAGAAGCUUAGAAGAGGAAAUAACAGAGAGAAGAAGAGGUGUUGUUGAUGGUGAUGAUGAGAGAAGGAUGAGAGAGAGAGAAGAGAGAGAAGGGUGUUGAUUGAGGAAAGAGAUGAAGGAAGAAAGGUGUUGAUUGUUGAAACGAAGAGAAAGAGAGGUUUUUGAUGAACGGUAGAGAUGAAGCCACCGUUUUGAAACAAGAGAGAUUGAAGAGAAAGAAGAAGAUGGAAGUUUUUGGAAUAUUUCUUGUAAUAGUUCAUCGUAUAAGCUAUUUUCCAUCUCUUCUGGUUUCUCUCUCUCUCUGUUUCUCUAUCUCUCUGUGUUUUAUUGUGUUGUUUGGAGAAUAUAGUAAGGUGUGUCUGGUUUUUUUUAUUAGAGAAAAUAUUAGGAUUAGGUGAGAAGUGAAGUGUGUUUGAAAGAGCAAGAUUACUUGUUGAAAAUGAAUCUUAGACGCAUGUGUAAUGGACGUGAAAGCCACGUUCCUGCUUGUCUAUAUAUUUUUGGAAAAUGUUACAUAGACACCCUUUAUUUCCAUACACCUUUGUACAUCUUGUAUACUAGGAAGAGAGAAGAGGAAAGGAAAGAUAAAAUGUGCUUGUUCAGGAUCCACGUGACCACAUGUCAGAUUUUUGUAUGGAUAUCCAGAUAUAUUUCCACCUAAGGGUGUCUAUGUAUCAUAACUCUAUAUUUCUAUUGCAAAUAGAAACUUAUGUAAAACUAAACCAAAU
RNAcentral lists this long non-coding RNA (1870 nucleotides) under Medicago truncatula (barrel medic). RNAcentral describes it as "lncRNA gene39385". The record is from RNAcentral. Lineage: Eukaryota; Viridiplantae; Streptophyta; Magnoliopsida; Fabales; Fabaceae.